GGUUAACGCUGGCGGCGUGCCUAACACAUGCAAGUCGAACGGUUCUAAGCGCGAGCUUAGGAUAGUGGCGAACGGGUGAGUAAAAGGUAGGAAUCUACCCCUUGGACGGAGAUAGCUACUGGAAACGGUAGGUAAACUUCGAUAAGCCCGAGAGGGGAAAGUGGUGAGACAGCCGAGGGAUGAGCCUACUCUCCAUCAGGUAGUUGGUGAGAUAAAGCUUACCAAGCCGAUGACGGAUAACCGGUGUGAGAGCAUGAACGGUCACAAGGGCACUGAGAGACGGGCCCUACUCCUACGGGAGGCAGGCAGUGGGGAAUCUUGGACAAUGGGCGAAAGCCUGAUCCAGCGACGCCGCGUGGAGGAAGAAGUCCUUCGGGGCGUAAACUCCUGGACUGGGGGACGAGGAAGGACGGUACCCCAGUAGAAAGGGACGGCGUAACUACGUGCCAGCAGCCGCGGUAAAGAGUAGUACAA
RNAcentral lists this ribosomal RNA (474 nucleotides) under uncultured bacterium. Its description in RNAcentral is "bacterial SSU rRNA". It matches the Rfam family "Bacterial small subunit ribosomal RNA", at positions 28 to 537 of the family's 1533-position model. The record is from RNAcentral.